UACGUAGGCAGCGAGCGUUGUUCGGAGUUACUGGGCGUAAAGGGUGUGUAGGCGGUUGUUUAAGUUUGGUGUGAAAUCUCCCGGCUCAACUGGGGGGGUGCGCCGAAUACUGAAUGACUAGAGUGCGGGAGAGGAAAGUGGAAUUCCUGGUGUAGCGGUGAAAUGCGUAGAUAUCAGGAGGAACACCGGGGGUGUAGACGGCUUUCUGGACCGUAACUGACGCUGAGACACGAAAGCGUGGGUAGCAAACAGG
RNAcentral lists this ribosomal RNA (253 nucleotides) under uncultured bacterium. RNAcentral describes it as "partial 16S ribosomal RNA". It matches the Rfam family "Bacterial small subunit ribosomal RNA", at positions 524 to 776 of the family's 1533-position model. The record is from RNAcentral.